CGCCUGGGUCCGUGUGCUGUUGUAGGAUAAGGGGUGCCACCUCCUCCGUGUGUCUGUGCUCGGGGUUGCAGCACUUCACGGAGGUCUGUGUCAUACCGCCUAUUGCUGGCACUCGGCAGCGGCACAGUCUGGGGUGUACUUCAAAACGGAGCUCGCUCUUGUGAGGUGAGACUGCGCUUCGCUUCUUGUGUAGAUUAAAGUUCGGUCGGUAGCGCCAAACCUCGACCAUCGGUCCCUUCAGGAACUGUGCCUUCGUGCUCCCACCCUGCAGCAGCUCCCACCGGGCUCAGGUACGCUCCCAGGAGGUCCCCGGUGUGCGGGGUGUCUGUGUGCAGUGACACGAGGCCUCCUGGGCUGCCCACGGCGGGUGGGAGAAGCCUGGGCUCCCCCAUGGCGGGCGCUGAGAACUUUCUGUCACAGCGGUGACAUUCAGGGCUAACAAUGCUGGGAAGUUUUUCUGGAAUUCUUGGGGAUUCCUGUCGUAUCCCGUUGGGUUCGUGCUUUGUAUUGGUUCUGCUCACCUGAUAUCUGUAUGUCUGAUAUCUGGCUGCGGGAGAGGUUUGUGAGGGCUGGUUGUAUUUUAAGUGGUUGCCCAGAGAGGAGGGAUGCAGGUAACGGUGGAAGUGUUCUCACAGACUCUUAUUUGCCUCCACCCCAAGGCCAGCUGGAUGUGGUGUCUCAGUGUGCGUUCGUAUGUGAACACCAGUUCUGAUUUACAUCUGUCACAGCAUUAAAAGGGAACGAUUUUUGAAUGUGCUGCCUUGUGUAGGGUAGGGGAAACUCUAAUUAUGUGGUAUAACUCUCUUGAGGUGGGGGGAGAAAGGGUUAGUACCUUUAUUUUUCUCAGGCUACUUAGUAUGCUGGGAGUUGGACUUGUUCUGUAUGGGUUGCUUCCAACUUAGGAUAUUCUGUGAUUUUAUAUAGAUGGGCAGAUGGUGAUGACCCAUGAGGCCGUAAUCUGUCACUGUAGGGUUGUACCAUUAGCAUUUUCUCAGAAGCAUAAUUAAAAAUAUUAAUUUAAUUGCAAUACUGGGUAGCAUAAAAGCAUCAGUGGGAUUCAUCAUGGAAGCAUGACUUAAAUUGGAGACCAGUUAAACUUGGUCACGGCAGCAUUUUAAGUCUUAUUUAGAUAUGUGUGGACAUUUUAAUUAUGUGUCAGUCAGCAUGUAGAUUGUUUAGAGGCAGGAAACCCCAUCUGUGUUUCCAUCUAGCUUUGCAAGAUAGGUCCAUAAAUAAGUCAGUAAUGUAAGCAGAAAAUACUUAUUGUAUAGGAAGCUUUUUUUUUUUUUUAGACAAUUGAUCAAUGUGUGUUCAGAAACAUCAGUGUAAUGACUCGUUCAUGUGGCAUUAACCUAGGCAUUAAGCUUUCUCUUUGCAGCCUAGCCUCUCUUUGCUCUAUCAGGCUUGCACAGAGUUGAGAUUAUGUAGAAUUUCAGAUUAAUGCAGCCUUCAGCAUGACAUACAGCUACAAAUGACAGCAAAAUGGUUAAACUCCUACUGGCAGUUCUGCUAGCAAUCUCGUGCCCCAUCAUCCCGACUGCCCAAACUUGAAGACUGGGUUAUUUUGAGCUGUUCAAAAUUGAUGUCAACAAGUAAUCCUCAUUUUGACUGUAUGAAUUAGAAUCCAAGCGUCCUGGUACUAAGAUGGAACUAAACUGCAGUUUGGCAGCUGGAAAUGGCUGGCUUAGCUGUACCAGAGUUCUUCAUUUAAAUAUUUUUGUUAAGUAGUACUACAGAUAAAGAAGGGAAUGAGGAAAAAGUGGAGAGUGUUCUUUUUUUUCUUAACACAGCUCAUGAAGGGCUUAUUACUUCACUUGUCAAAUGGUCUAGUUUGGAAAAAGCAAUUAAAGAAUACAAUUUUAAUUCUAAAAUGUCAGUUGAAUGGAAUUUGUUACACCUUAAAAAAGAGCUUUCAUCUUCUAAUUAAGGCCUCAAACAUUUGUAAUUCAGGCACUUCACUUUUUCAUAGCACUUCUUGCAUAGCUGACAGUGCUGUAAACUGCAGAGGGUUUGAUUGAUUUUUGUGACUGUAACACUUGUCAACUUAGGGAGGUUUUUAUUCAUUUGCAUCAGCUGCUCUCAUGGAUGCAUUUGAUUCUCUUGAAACUUCUUUGAAAUAGAAGGUUAAUAACAGGACUCAUCCCUUUGGUGUCUAACAGCUAAAUGCUUUAGAAGAAAAACUGCAUUACUGCUAUUCUGAAAACAUGACUUCAUGGAUAUUUUCCUUUUUCCUUUUGUGGUACAAGUAGGAGCUUUGUAUUCAAACUGGAGUUUUCAAACCUGGUAUUUUUCAAAAGAAGUGUGGUUUUCUAUUUUCCCCUCUUCCUUUGCUUGUGUCCCAUUUAUGCAGAAACACUUGUUCUGGUGACAGAUAUCAGAGAGGUAAAGGUUUGGAGGGAGUGCAGUAGGGGAUGAAUGCAAUGACGUCUGGAGAAGAAACCGUCUUCAGGAAGGGCUGACCUUGGCUCAAGAAUGCAGAAACAAUUGUAGAUUUCAUUUAUUUUUUUUUAAUUUUUUUUUAAUCAAGAAAUCUUGUCUGCAAACCAGACAAGAUUGCAGCUCUUUGCAUCUCCUGCUAUGUGGCAGGUAUAAUUAAGUUGGUGUUUUUCCCUUUGGUUAUUUGAAUUUUCUCUGAUAUAAUCUGUCCUGCUUGCUCUUAAAACAAGGAUACUUUAAGGCUGAGUUGCGCACACUGGAUGUAAUGAGGGUUAGG
RNAcentral lists this long non-coding RNA (2713 nucleotides) under Gallus gallus (chicken). The record is from RNAcentral. Lineage: Eukaryota; Metazoa; Chordata; Aves; Galliformes; Phasianidae.